CCGAGUUUACAACUCCCAAACCCCUGUGAACAUACCUUUAUGUUGCCUCGGCGGAUCAGCCCGCGCCCCGUAAAACGGGACGGCCCGCCGCAGGAAACCCUAAACUCUGCUUUUAGUGGAACUUCUGAGUAUAAAAAACAAAUAAAUCA
RNAcentral lists this unclassified non-coding RNA (149 nucleotides) under soil metagenome. RNAcentral's name for it is "partial internal transcribed spacer 1". The record is from RNAcentral.